RNAcentral lists this ribosomal RNA (253 nucleotides) under uncultured bacterium. RNAcentral's name for it is "partial 16S ribosomal RNA". It matches the Rfam family "Bacterial small subunit ribosomal RNA", at positions 524 to 776 of the family's 1533-position model. The record is from RNAcentral.
UACGUAGGGUGCGAGCGUUGUCCGGAAUUAUUGGGCGUAAAGAGCUUGUAGGCGGUCUGUCGCGUCUGCUGUGAAAAUCCGGGGCCCAACCCCGGACUUGCAGUGGGUACGGGCAGACUAGAGUGUGGUAGGGGAGACUGGAAUUCCUGGUGUAGCGGUGAAAUGCGCAGAUAUCAGGAGGAACACCGAUGGCGAAGGCAGGUCUCUGGGCCACUACUGACGCUGAGAAGCGAAAGCAUGGGGAGCGAACAGG